RNAcentral lists this ribosomal RNA (482 nucleotides) under uncultured bacterium. RNAcentral describes it as "partial 16S ribosomal RNA". It matches the Rfam family "Bacterial small subunit ribosomal RNA", at positions 30 to 507 of the family's 1533-position model. The record is from RNAcentral.
AUUGAACGCUGGCGGCAUGCUUUACACAUGCAAGUCGAACGGUAACAGGCCGCAAGGUGCUGACGAGUGGCGAACGGGUGCGUAAUGCAUCGGAACGUGCCCAGUCGUUGGGGAUAACUACUCGAAAGAGUAGCUAAUACCGCAUACGAUCUAUGGAUGAAAGCGGGGGACCGUAAGGCCUCGCGCGAUUGGAGCGGCCGAUGUCAGAUUAGGUAGUUGGUGGGGUAAAGGCUCACCAAGCCAACGAUCUGUAGCUGGUCUGAGAGGACGACCAGCCACACUGGGACUGAGACACGGCCCAGACUCCUACGGGAGGCAGCAGUGGGGAAUUUUGGACAAUGGGCGCAAGCCUGAUCCAGCAAUGCCGCGUGCAGGAAGAAGGCCUUCGGGUUGUAAACUGCUUUUGUACGGAACGAAACGGCUCUGGUUAAUACCCGGGGCUAAUGACGGUACCGUAAGAAUAAGCACCGGCUAACUACGUG